UACGUAGGGUGCGAGCGUUAAUCGGAAUUACUGGGCGUAAAGCGUGCGCAGGCGGUUCGUUGUGUCUGAUGUGAAAGCCCCGGGCUCAACCUGGGAAUGGCAUUGGAAACUGGCGAGCUGGAGUGUGGCAGAGGGGGGUGGAAUUCCCGGUGUAGCGGUGAAAUGCGCAGAUAUCGGGAGGAACACCGGUGGCGAAGGCGGUUCUCUGGGCCUGUACUGACGCUGAGGAGCGAAAGCGUGGGGAGCGAACAGG
RNAcentral lists this ribosomal RNA (253 nucleotides) under uncultured bacterium. RNAcentral's name for it is "partial 16S ribosomal RNA". It matches the Rfam family "Bacterial small subunit ribosomal RNA", at positions 524 to 776 of the family's 1533-position model. The record is from RNAcentral.